GCGUGUGAAAGGAAUCCCAUGGAAUUUUUAAUUCCCAAAUAAUGCGAUUCGUCGAAAUCAUCCGAGGCAUCUGUGGCCGAACGGGAUUGGUGAACCUGCGGCAGAAUGGAUUUUUUUGGUUUUUAUUUAAUCAAAUUCAGGAAAACCAAAAAAGAGGUAAAUGCGGCGGUGUGCUUCGAAUGUUAUCCACAACGGCGCAGAUAGAUAGGUGCUGACAUGGAACAUUGUAAAAGGAGCAUGAAACCGGAGGAAAACUGAAUCAAUGAGACAAGGGUAUGGAGCUUUUCUGUCCUAUUCUUGGUGUGUUUUUAUGACUUUAUAAGAGUCCAUGUUCUUUGGUUCAUCAUCUGACUAAUCUUGUCCGGCUAUUAAACGGAAAACAAUAGUUGUUGGGGCAUCUCGUCACAAAACGAUAUAUAUGAAUUAUUGAAAUGGUUUUUCUUGCAAUCUAUCAAGUGGAGGUUACAACGGUAAAGUGGCUGUCAGUUUCUAUUGCCCUUUUGCUGAGGUUUCCAGACCAUGGUCCAGUUGCAUAUGCCAUUGCCAUGCACACUAGAGCUUUCAGUAAUUGCUAAUCUUGAAUUUGUUGCCACUCCAAUAAGUUUCUAAUAUUUCCCCCAAAGAGAAAAAAAAAAUUCAGUGAGGCAUUAAUGAUUCAAUCUUUAAAUCUCAAUUUCACUGCGUCGAAUUCUUUUCCCUUUCUCCUUGUUUUAGUUCAUAAGGGUAGUUUAAUCUUGUUUGUGAUACUGCUAUGAUUUUGGAUGAAUUUUAAUGCAUUGACUAUUGAGAUUAUAAAUUUGUUGACUUCAAUUUUCCAUUAAUCAUUGAAAUGUCUUCUGUUCAUGUGAAUUCAAGAAAAGUAAUUUUACAAAAGGCUGGUUUGAAAUGAUUUGCAGCAAGUUAUGAUGUAAGCAGCACAUUUAUGAACCUUGAUUUGAAUCCUGGAAUCAAUUUUAGAGCCCAUCACUCUGGUUUGAAAAUUUCUAAGACAGUUCAAUGCUCUUAUAUAUGUUUUAAAGUUUUUGAUGCGGAGAAUAUGCUUUUAUGGUAACAUUUUAAAUAAAAAUAUAUUUUGAAUGUGAUAUCUUAGAGAUGAAAUUUUGAUGAACAGGGCGAAAACAUGUAAGUAAAUAGAGUGUGAUUAGUAAGAACAGCAGUACACUUAAAAGAUAGUUUAACUAUGCUGUUUAUGAUUGAUUUACUAGGGUAUCAACUGCAAGUUUAAAUUAGUAAAUGAGAGCACUAUUACUUUACUGCUAUCUUAGUUGGGUCUAAACAUGGCUUCAUGACAUAAUUGAAGAAAGCUGGAUAGUAAAUGCCUCUGCUGAAUGAAUUUGGGUAAAGGGUCAAUAGUGGUGGUAAGAAUUAAUUGAGGAUGAUAUAUAUCACCAUAUAUGCUGCUGUAAGAAGAAGGCAAAAUCAACUGUGAAACCUCUUCUUCUAAGUUAUCUUUCAUUAUCAUUUAGUCAAGAUAGAAAAUGCAAAAUAAAUAUAUAAAUAAAUGUAACCACCCCCUAUAGUUGUUUGCCACAAUAGGGAAAAUUCCAAAAGAAUUUAAAAAUCCUAAGGUGUGUGUUGCCAGCUAUUUAUAGCACCCACGAGCGCACCUCCAUCCAGACCUGUGUGAUAUCUGCAUUCUGUACUUGGCCUCCCAAAAAAGUGAGUAACAUGUUUUUCUAAACCUACACUCUCUCUACUGUCCCCCCCUUCUGAGUUUCCAAAAACUUGAGCAGCCAUAACUGAAAGCUUCAGAUUACCUCAAAACAGAGAUAUGAGGGGUAAAUCAUCUUCUUCAUCAAAGUCUAGAAAUGGGGGGCUGGAAUUUGAGAAGGUUGAGAAAUCCAAAGAACCCCAAUUGUCUGGUGCUUACAUUCGUAGCCUUGUUAAACAAUUAACCUCUUCAAGAACCAAAGAUUCCUCGAAUCUCAAUGAGUAUGAGAAUUUAGAGGAAGAGGGGAAUCAAAGUUCUUGCAGAAAUCAUCCUAGUACUAGAUUCUCUGAUCAGAAACAAGAAACUUCAAGCAAUCAAAGUUUGUGCAUAAGCUCUUGUGAGGGGUUUUCUGAUGAGAAAUCUCAUCUCCCCCCUCAGCAGCACAAGAAGCAAGUCAGGAGAAGGCUUCAUGCCAGCAGACCUUACCAAGAGAGGCUACUUAAUAUGGCUGAAGCCCGCAGAGAAAUUGUCACUGCCCUUAAGUUUCAUAGAGCAGCUAUGAAACAAGCCAGUGAAAAGCAGCAGCAGCAGCAACAACAGCUGCAACAACAACCAAACAUGGAGUCAGGGCCCGAAAACCAACCUUAUGCCUCUGCUGCAUCUCAUCACCUCUGUUUGGAGCAAGAAGCCAAAUUGAAGUCCAGGAGGAACCCCAGGAUUUAUGCUUCAAAUUCUUCUGUCCCAAAUAGUUUCCCUGCCAAUUAUAUGGACGGUAUCUCCUCCUACUCACCCGGGUACUGUUGUCCAUAUUCUUGGUCAUUAUCUCCAAUGGCACCACCACCCAUUGUCCAGGAAAAUCUCAAUUUCACUCUGCCUAGCCAGCCACUUGGCCUUAAUCUCAAUCUUCAAGAUUUUAGUAACUUGGAUGCUACUGCUUUCAAUUGCAGCACCAACCCCUCAUCGAUUUUCUCAUACUCAGCAUCAACCUCUUCCUCUCCUGUUUCAGCUUACACCGAUGAGAAUCCAUGCUUUGAAGCAGCCCCACCUUCGGUGGCAGCUGAAGCAGGAGAAUAUGGGGAUUCAGGGAUGCAUCCAGUAAUGGAUGAUAAGGAAAUUGCUGAGAUCAGGUCAAUUGGGGAGCAGUACGAGAUGGAGUGGAAUGACACUGUGAAUCUAGUGAAUUCAGCUUGGUGGUUCAAGUUUUUGAAGGAAACAGAAAUGAAACCUGAAAAUCAACAAGGUGAGUAUUUUGUGAACUCUCCGUUUGAUGAAGUCAUGGAGUUCCCUGCCUGGCUCAAUGCAAAUGAGAGCUGCUUGCAGCAUGUCAACGAUCACUGCUCUGAUGGCUACUAUCCAGAACCUGCUUUGCCAUGAUUGCUUUCAUGGAAAAUUUGAUACUCAGACAACCAAACAAGGAUAAAGCUUGAUCCCCUUAUAGCACAUAAUUCACCAUGACUGCUUGCUUGUGAAUUCAUGGACAUUGAAGAAAUUGAAGGAAUGGAUGGAGACUGGUUAGCCUGAAAAAGAUUUUGAUGGAUAGCUGGGCUGGCUCUGUUUCUUCACAACAGCAACAAUAAUAAUGAUAAUAGUAAUAAUCAGAUUGUUGGUGGCCUUAAGCCUUUUUUACUGCCUUGGGCACCUGCGUUUUUUAUUUGUAAUUUUUUAAUGUUGUUGUCGGCUCUGUUCAACAAGGCUUGCUUGAAUCUGUAAUGAACAGACAACCAAAUAAAAUAGUAUUAGCUAGACGAUGAUGAUGAUGGGAAAUUACUAUAUACUCCUAUAUAUUUAUUCAGUUAUUCUACCCUUCCCUCCCCUCCCUCUCAACUUUUGUUGAUUCAAGUGUUAGUUGUCGUACAAGUGGAUCCAUGCUCUGUACUUUCUUCCCCUAUUCUUUAUUAAUUAAUCAGUCCUAGCUUAUGUUAUUUAUUUAUUUUUUCUUA
This is an RNA transcript of Andrographis paniculata, 3591 nucleotides long. RefSeq lists it as uncharacterized. Lineage: Eukaryota; Viridiplantae; Streptophyta; Magnoliopsida; Lamiales; Acanthaceae. The record is from RefSeq and is a predicted model, not a curated record. The transcript is spliced from 4 exons.